RNAcentral lists this ribosomal RNA (340 nucleotides) under Gammaproteobacteria bacterium. Its description in RNAcentral is "partial 23S ribosomal RNA". It matches the Rfam family "Bacterial large subunit ribosomal RNA", at positions 1 to 360 of the family's 2925-position model. The record is from RNAcentral. Lineage: Bacteria; Pseudomonadati; Pseudomonadota; Gammaproteobacteria.
AUUCAAGAAAUUAAGGGCUUAUGGGGGAUACCUUGGCAUUCAGAAGCGAUGAAGGACGUGGCUACCUGCGAUAAGCUUCGGGGAGCUGGAAGCAAGCUUUGAUCCGGAGGUUUCCGAAUGAGGCAACUCCAAGAACUACUUAUUGAAUACAUAGAUAAGUAAGAGCGAACCCAGGGAAUUGAAACAUCUUAGUACCUGGAGGAAAAGAAAGUAAAAACGAUUCCCUUAGUAGCGGCGAGCGAAAUGGGAACAGCCUAAACUUUUAAAUAAUAUUUAUUUAAGAGGGUUGUGGGGUAGUAUGAUUAAAGUAAACAUACUUUAGCACUUUGGUGCUUUAGAA